AGUUUGAUAAUAACAAUUUAAAAUAUUUUAAAAUUAUUCAAGUUACUUCUCAUUUUUUUUUUUUUUUUUUGUUUCCAUUAUGUAUAAAAAUGUAUAUAUAUAUAUAUAUACCCACACAUUUGUAAAUUUUUUGUUUUAUAAUUUUUACAGAAUUAUAUUUCUAGAUAAAGAAAUUCAGGACAAUAAAAAAACAUUUGCACAUUUUUCUAUCAUUUUUAUAAUUGGGAAUCUAUUAGUUUCUUUGAAUUUAUCUUUACUAAACAUAAACAUAUAUUUUUUUCAGACAUUAUGUACAGUUAGCUAUUCACUAUUCCCAAUGGUAUUUUCUGCUUUUGUUAAUUUGUUUGUGUCCAGUCGAAUGAUUCGGUUUUUAUUUUUUAUCAUGUCUACCACAUGGUCAUCUUAUAAUUGUAUCCUUGUUUUAGGAAAAUUUAUAAAAAGUAAUAAAUUAUUGAUUUCUAUUUUGCCCAUAUGCUUACUACAAUUUUUUCUAACUACAUUGUUAUUAAUUAAAUAAUGUAAAAAUGCAUUUUUGUUUUUUAAUUUUUUUAUCUUUUCCUAAUUUAAUCUUUUGAUAUAUAUAUAUAUUUUUUUUUUUUUAUAUUGUUAAUUUUAAAAAUUGUUUCCAAAACUGUAAUAAUGACUUAAGAAAAUUAUAAAAUCAAUAUUUUACUAAAAAAAAAAAAAAAUUAGUUUACGCAAUUAAUCAAAGCUUUAAUUAUAAGCAAGUUUGUUUAUUUAAUCAUGCUUUGAUCUUAUGCAUCUUUUAAAAAUGUAUAAAAAAUAAAAAAAUAUAUAUAUAUAUAUAUAUAUACA
Molecule: long non-coding RNA, 816 nt
Filed under: Piliocolobus tephrosceles (Ugandan red Colobus)
Lineage: Eukaryota; Metazoa; Chordata; Mammalia; Primates; Cercopithecidae
Description: lncRNA (ENSPTEG00000029415.1)
Source: RNAcentral